RNAcentral lists this ribosomal RNA (460 nucleotides) under uncultured bacterium. Its description in RNAcentral is "partial 16S ribosomal RNA". It matches the Rfam family "Bacterial small subunit ribosomal RNA", at positions 338 to 795 of the family's 1533-position model. The record is from RNAcentral.
CCUACGGGAGGCAGCAGUGAGGAAUAUUGGUCAAUGGACGAGAGUCUGAACCAGCCAUGUAGCGUGCAGGAUGACUGCCCUAUGGGUUGUAAACUUCUUUUAUAAGGGAAUAAAACGAGGCACGCGUGCCUUUUUGCAUGUACUUUAUGAAUAAGGAUCGGCUAACUCCGUGCCAGCAGCCGCGGUAAUACGGAGGAUCCGAGCGUUAUCCGGAUUUAUUGGGUUUAAAGGGAGCGUAGAUGGGUUGUUAAGUCAGUUGUGAAAGGUUGCGGCUCAACCGUAAAAUUGCAAUUGAUACUGGCAGGCUUGAGUACAGUAGAGGUAGGCGGAAUUCGUGGUGUAGCGGUGAAAUGCGUAGAUAUUACGAAGAACUCCGAUGGCGAAGGCAGCUUACUAAACUGUAACUGACAUUGAGGCUCGAAAGUGUGGGGAGCAAACAGGAUUAGAUACCCCGGUAGUC